RNAcentral lists this ribosomal RNA (450 nucleotides) under uncultured bacterium. RNAcentral's name for it is "partial 16S ribosomal RNA". It matches the Rfam family "Bacterial small subunit ribosomal RNA", at positions 330 to 796 of the family's 1533-position model. The record is from RNAcentral.
GUUCCACUCCUACGGGAGGCAGCAGUGAGGAAUUUUCCGCAAUGGGCGAAAGCCUGACGGAGCAAUGCCGCGUGAAGGAUGAAGGCCUAUGGGUUGUAAACUUCUUUUCUUAGAGAAGAAUAUUGACGGUAUCUGAGGAAUAAGCAUCGGCUAACUCUGUGCCAGCAGCCGCGGUAAGACAGAGGAUGCAAGCGUUAUCCGGAAUGAUUGGGCGUAAAGCGUCUGUAGGUGGCUUCAAAAGUCUCCUGUCAAAGAUCAGGGCUUAACCCUGGGCCGGCAGGAGAAACUCGGAGGCUAGAGUUUGGUAGGGGCAGAGGGAAUUCCCGGUGGAGCGGUGAAAUGCGUAGAGAUCGGGAGGAACACCAAAGGCGAAAGCACUCUGCUGGGCCACAACUGACACUGAGAGACGAAAGCGAGGGGAGCAAAAGGGAUUAGAAACCCUAGUAGUCC